ACACAUCUAACCACUCUUCAGCUGAUAUCCACUUGCUGACAAAUGAAUCUCUCUGGCCCCUGGACUGUGCCCUGAAACACAGCUUAAAACAGCAGAAUGAACAGUAAUCCCAGAGAUCCUGAGAUGAGAAAAGGGUGUUUGACUUAUUCAAAGAAGACCAAGGAAGCCCAAAGACCAGAGAAGAGUGCAGGAAAGGGGCGGCGGUCUGAGAUGCAGUCAGAGCAGUGGCAAGCCCCCAGAGUCUGUGGCAAAGACUUCAGGUUUCAUCCUGAAGAGGAAGACAGGUCUUUGGAGAGUUUUGAUCAAGGAAGUGAGAUGAAAUAUCUUAGGCUUACAAAGAACUACUCUGACAUCUAAAUGGAAAAUGGACUGAUGAAGCAAAAGAAGCCACAAGGAAGCCAGUUCAGAGGCUAUUGAAAUGCUCCAGAUACUCAGAGAGUGAGAGCCUUCAGAUUUGGGUGAGUGAUGCCAUUAGAACCAAGAUUUCUUCCAUUCUUCUGCUCUAUCAUUCUCAGCACAACAUGCUUUUCUCAUUAAGGCCGCUGUGGUUCGUCUUCUGCCUGGGAACUGGAUAAAAACAUCAGUGAAUACCCCAAAGAUUUUCAAAAAUGCUUGUUGAUAAAAUGAAGUCAGAAUGUGAGAUGAGCCCUUCCACCUGAGUGAUGUUGGUCUUGGCUGUGUGAUUUGCUUUGGCUGAUGAUAAGUUGAUGGAAGUGAUAGUAAGACAAUGCUGAGCCUCAUCCUCGGAAGUAUCUCUGCCUUCACCUGGCUUUGUGCACCACUGCCCUGGCUUUGAGAAGAACAUGAGCCCAGUAAAUUGUUAGUCCAGGAAGAAUGAGAGAGAAAGUCCUGAGGCAGAGAAGUGGAGAGAAGUUGCUGCUUGAGCUUGAGAAAGAAUGGUGGCAGAGUACAUGCAUGGAAGUGCUACCAUAGCUGCUCUGAAAUCAGAGCCCUAUAUUAGGUAUUGAGGGUUC
RNAcentral lists this long non-coding RNA (974 nucleotides) under Homo sapiens (human). Its description in RNAcentral is "HSALNT0393728". The record is from RNAcentral. Lineage: Eukaryota; Metazoa; Chordata; Mammalia; Primates; Hominidae.